Molecule: ribosomal RNA, 253 nt
Filed under: uncultured Pseudomonas sp.
Lineage: Bacteria; Pseudomonadati; Pseudomonadota; Gammaproteobacteria; Pseudomonadales; Pseudomonadaceae
Description: partial 16S ribosomal RNA
Rfam family: Bacterial small subunit ribosomal RNA
Source: RNAcentral
CGGACGGGUGAGUAAUGCCUAGGAAUCUGCCUGGUAGUGGGGGACAACGUUUCGAAAGGAACGCUAAUACCGCAUACGUCCUACGGGAGAAAGCAGGGACCUUCGGGCCUUGCGCUAUCAGAUGAGCCUAGGUCGGAUUAGCUAGUUGGUGAGGUAAUGGCUCACCAAGGCGACGAUCCGUAACUGGUCUGAGAGGAUGAUCAGUCACACUGGAACUGAGACACGGUCCAGACUCCUACGGGAGGCAGCAGCU